AUAAAAUGAACGGCGUAUUGAUUAUAGAUAGUGUCAGCACAUUGCUCUAUAUAGUAGGAAAACUGAACACUAGGUCUCGAUAGACCAAUAGAAAAACUCACUUGAAUUGUAUAUAGAGAAAGACUGAUCUCUCAAACACAGCGAGUUGUUGCCAUAUCUACCCAGAGUUUCUUGGGAUUACUUUGUUGGCCACUACUUCACAAGCUUGUCUUGAGUCUGGACAGGAAGCCUGAGUGUCUCUGGAUGCCCCGCUGCAUUUGGUCUGGAAACCUUAUUGUAUUUGAUUUGGAAGCCUCAGUAUAUAUGGCACUGAAACUUUGCUGUAUCUAAUCUGAAAGCCAUACUGUAUCUAAUCUGAUAGUCAUACUUUAUCUGGUCAGUAAGUCUUAUUGUAUUUGGUCUGAAGCCUUACAGAGUGUUUCAAGAUACCUCAGUGUAUGUCUGGUCUGGAAACCUCACUGUGUCGAAGCAUAACUUAAUGUCUGAAGCGAGGAAGCCUCCGCGUGGAAGCUCCCUAAGCUCCAGUAAGGUGUUCCACAGGAGCGUAUAAUGAAAACUUCGUACGUGCUGCUGCUGCUUUAGUCUAGCCUUAAAAUGCAGACCUGUGAAAGUAAGUACCUCGUGCCUCUAUAUGGAGGCUCUUUGAGCGUGAAGGCCUCUUGGUCCGAGAAACUGGAGUCUAUUUGGUCUUUUUCCCCUCUUCGGAUCAAACCAGAAUGCAACCUCCCCUACCCCUUUGAGAUCUUGCCUUAUACUGUGGUGAUUCUUUAAUAUUCAUUGAAGUUGUGGUUUUGUGAAAUGCGACUAGUAAACUUUGAAUUGAACAGCUGGCAGUGUGAUGAUUUUUGCAUCGUUGUAACAAGUGUCACACGAUAACAACAAGUGGAUGAACGACGGCGUAAACCGAAAAGUAUUGUAGCGAGAAAGAUACUGCGGCGAAACCUUUCUCGAUGCGUAUGAUCCAACACUGAACUUUAUCAAGUAUUUCUAUCAUACUUGACAAAGUUUAGUCGUGGUAAAGGUUGCUCUGCGAACAAAGUCUCUCACUUAUGAUAGCAAACGCUUUAGUUACGAGGAUUAUUGGUAAUGACAGCAGCAACUUAGUACUGUUAGUAGGUUUUCUAAGUGCAGGGCCCUGAAAGACCUCUGCAAGCUUGUGUUUUUCGAAUUCCUGCACGGAAUACCUGGUGCAGUGGGUGGCCAAGGUUGCCUUCACUCCUUACCAGGGCUGGUCACCGUACAACUCCAGGAAAUUCAGUCGCUGUCUGGUAACCUUAAACACUGAACAGUUGUUCAUUGCAUCACUUAGUCUGUUAAGCUGUAGUGGCACAGUGGAAGAGAAAGCACAUACACAACACACACUCAGUUUCACUUUCUCUCUCUCUCUCUCUCUCUCUCUCUCUCUCUCUCUCUCUCUCUCUCUCUCUCUCUCUCUCUCUCUCUCUCUCUCUCUCUCUCUCUCUCUCUCUCUCUCUCUCUCUCUCUCUCUCUCUCUUGUACACACACACAUCCUAUUAAUAUAACGAGUGGAAAUUGUGUAGUAGUUUGGCAUAUAAGAGACAGGAUUGGAUCAUGUAAAGAACAUACUAAUACAGUUCCACUGGAGGAAAAAAAUAGAAAUGAAUUGAGUGGACAUGCACGCGGUUUAUGCAAGUAAACAAAGUAUAAUUUGUUUCAAUCUCAGGUGCAGUGGAGAUGUCUGAGCCAGAGUGAAAAAUGUCAGGCGUGGAAGUGAGGGCAGUGAUAAAGGGGAGCAAUAUAAUGGAGCACAACAUGACUUAUCGGAGAGAAGGCCACCUGUUGCUCCAAUUACACCUGCCUUCCACCCACUGAUGCUCUUGACGCUCUUAUGCUCCUGUAAUGUCUGUUCAUGUUCCUGGUGCCUCGUUAAUGCUGUCGCUUGCUGCUGCUGCUACUUGUGCUAGGGGUUAAAUUAUUGCUGUUGCUGCUGCUGUUAUUGGUAGUAAUAAUAUUAGUGUUUAAAUCAUUGCUUUUACUAGUACUGCUGCUGUUAUCUGUAAUAUUAAUGAUGUUAGUGUUUUAGUUAUUGUUGCUGUUGUUAAUGGUACUAAUGAUAAUAAGUCUUAUGGCAAAAUGUAAACCUUCAUUAGGUUUUCCUUAGGGGCCAAGCUUUUAGUAAGUCUGUCCACAAAAAGAAGCAUUGGUGUAUAUAGUCGGGAGAGCAGAUGACGAGGAGGCAUUAGGUGCAAACUCCGUUGUGAGGUAUGAAGUGAGGUGUGUACUGAGGAUUAUGUGAGUCAAGGAUCCUGUUGAACACCGGAAGUCAUCAGCAUCACCUGCAACAACAGUGGGUUAGUUUAAAUAGACCAGACUGGACACCUCUUGAUUAUAAUCUUGGGUAAAAAAAAAAUAUUGAAUUAGCACAAACUAUCUUCGGCUGUCUAACAAUACAUGAUACUUCUCAACUCUUCCAUAGAUUAAUGAAGCAAACAUCACACAUAAAAUUGACUAUCCAUAUAAACCAAUAUGAAUAUAAUCGCCACUCAGAACCCUCUGCAAAUUUAAACCAGUCUAAAGGCCAGUGAAGCCCGGAGCAGAUUCCCAAGUUUGCAUUGAAAAUUGUAUUGCAGCACCAAACCUCACAACUCACCUGUGAGUUAUAACAUGAGCCAUCAGGCUUAUCGUAGUGUUCUCUACAGCCCAACAGAUGUCUUACGCUUAGUCUUGUCUGCUUUUGUGUGUGUGUGUACGCGUGAGUGUGUACUUGUGUGCUUGUUUUUGUAUGUAUGUAAUAUAAAUGAUGUUAGGGAUGAGCGUCCUAGAUGAAAUUACAAUAUUGUGUAAGUGACGAAUAACCGGAAUGUGAGAGGCCAUUGAUUAGUUUAACAGGAUUUUAGAAAAGUUUGAGUUCAACUUUCCUAAAACGAACAACUGUUUCGUGUGCUUGUUAAUACUGAUUGCAGUUAUAUUGCUUUCUUUACUAGCCGUAGAUUUUUUAUUUAAUAUUUUAGGUAAUGUUAUUUUUUUGUUUUCGAAUGUGCCUUCUAUAUAUGCAUUGUACAUUCCAUAACAAGAGAACAACAUCACGCUUGAUUUUAUGUGUUAUGCCCAUCAUGCUACAGUGUAUGUAAAAUUAGCGGGUUCGUUACAUAGUAUACGACCUGGAUAAUUUAUAGCUUUUGUGGUAUUGACGUAUUUAUAUUUAUAGCGUUAAAUGGUGCCAGUUGGGCAGAAGGUUUAUAAAAACAAACCAGAUUCUUUGUUGAAUGCCAUGUAAACACAUCCUGUUGUAAUUGAUGACUGUCGAGAGAAUGCAGCUGAUCCUAUGCGCAGUAUUUUAAUCAUCAUCACAGAUAAGUGAAGUUGUGUCCAGCAAUAACCUGCACACGUUGACCAUCAACGGUGACUGCACCGCAAAGCUUGCUGAAAUCUUGUGCAUUGUAUUUGAUAAAUGUGAAUUGAUAAGCGGCGUGCUGGAGCAUUGUUGAUUUCCAGAGUGGAAGGGAUGGGGUGCACUCCUGUUUCGCAAGGAAAACAGACAGCAGGUUAUUAGGUUCUGUAUUUAGAAGACUGGAAACGAGAGAGGAAAAUGAAGAGGUUGGUAUAUUGUAUGAGUUUAGGAUCUGAGGAAUAAACAUGUUAAUUAUUUAAUAUAGUCAAAUCAUCGAUGAGGAACUCGACGUGAUGGGUGUUUACUUUUGGCGAAUUCAUUAAUAUUAAUGUCACUUGGGUGUUUUGUUAUGCUGAAGCCACAUAUAUUGAUGUAACUCAUGUUUUGUUACGCUGAAGUCACAUAUAUUGAUGUAACUCAUGUUUUGUUUUGUUAUAAAAUUAUUAUUCAUCUCUAAAAGUAAUUUUGGUUGUCAUAAAGUCAACAAGUUUUUUGUCGAAGGCAGCCAAAUAUACAGUAAGGUUGACUGGGAAG
Molecule: long non-coding RNA, 3886 nt
Organism: Cherax quadricarinatus
Lineage: Eukaryota; Metazoa; Arthropoda; Malacostraca; Decapoda; Parastacidae
Source: RefSeq, a predicted model, not a curated record